GACGAACGCUGGCGGCGUGCUUAACACAUGCAAGUCGAACGGUGAAGCGCUUGCCUUUUUGGUGGGUGUGGAUGAGUGGCGAACGGGUGAGUAACACGUGAGUAACCUGCCCUCUUCUUCUGGAUAACCUCAUGAAAGUGGGGCUAAUACGGGGUAUUCCGGGUCUGUCGCAUGGCGGGUUUGGGAAAGAUUGCGCCUUUGGGUGUUUUCGGUGGGGGAUGGGCUCGCGGCCUAUCAGCUUGUUGGUGGGGUGAUGGCCUACCAAGGCGGUGACGGGUAGCCGGCCUGAGAGGGUGGACGGCCACACUGGGACUGAGACACGGCCCAGACUCCUGCGGGAGGCAGCAGUGGGGAAUAUGGCACAAGGGGCGCAAGCCGGAUGCAGCGACGCCGCGUGAGGGAGGGAGGCCGUCGGGUGGGGAACCUCUUUCGCCAGGGAAGCAGGCCUGCUCCUGUGUGGGUGGGUUGACGGUAGCUGGAUAAGAAGCGCCGGCUAACUACGUG
Molecule: ribosomal RNA, 504 nt
Filed under: uncultured bacterium
Lineage: Bacteria
Description: partial 16S ribosomal RNA
Rfam family: Bacterial small subunit ribosomal RNA
Source: RNAcentral